Molecule: ribosomal RNA, 1497 nt
Filed under: Acutandra araucana
Lineage: Eukaryota; Metazoa; Arthropoda; Insecta; Coleoptera; Cerambycidae
Description: eukaryotic LSU rRNA
Rfam family: Eukaryotic large subunit ribosomal RNA
Source: RNAcentral
UAGGAUUCCCCUAGUAGCUGCGAGCGAACAGGGAAGAGCCCAGCACUUAAUCCCGCGGCCGAUAUCGGGCGCCGGGAAAUGUGGUGUUAGGGAGGAUCCGUCUAUCCCGAGGUCGUGCGGUGCGUCCAAGUCCUUCUUGAACGGGGCCACAGCCCAUAGAGGGUGCCAGGCCCGUAGCGACCGCUGCCGAUCGCGGGAGGAUCUCUCCUCAGAGUCGGGUUGCUUGAGAGUGCAGCCCUAAGUGGGUGGUAAACUCCAUCUAAGGCUAAAUAUGACCACGAGACCGAUAGCGAACAAGUACCGUGAGGGAAAGUUGAAAAGCACUUUGAAGAGAGAGUUCAAGAGUACGUGAAACCGUUCAGGGGUAAACCUGAGAAACCCGAAAGGUCGAAAGGGGAAAUUCAUUCGCGUCUCGGACUCGUCGGCGUCGAACGUGUCGCGUGACGAACGACGUGCUUGCACGACGUUCGCGCCUUCCGUUCUUCGAACCGGCAUCGAACGCGUGCACUUUUCCCCUAGUAGGACGUCGCGAUUCGUUGGGUGUCGGCCUAAGGGCCGCGGUGGAGUCCGCGCGGACGUUUCGGCGUAUCGUGCGGACCCGCGAACCCUGGCCGACUCGCUCGACGGUAUACAGAUGGCGCGGGGCCGCUACGGUCGUCGCACGGCGACUUCGGUCGUUUGUGCGACGUUCUCGAUUAGCGUUCGGCCCGCGGCAAGCGCGUUCGGCGUACGACGGCGAUCGGACCUCGUGCCGGUCCUGUCCCCGAAUGGCUGUUGGCCGCGGUGGUAAUGUGGUGGUGGUGAUGGUGGUUUUUUUUCUCCAUCAACAUCAUCUCUCGAACAGACCUCGUCGUCGCGCGUAAGCGCGUAACGCCGAUCUGCGACGCUAUAGCUUUGGGUACUUUCAGGACCCGUCUUGAAACACGGACCAAGGAGUCUAGCAUGUGCGCGAGUCAUUGGGACAUAACUAAACCUAAAGGCGUAAUGAAAGUGAAGGUCCGCCUCGCGCGGAUCGAGGGAGGAUGAGCGUCCGAUAAGUGGUCGCUCCGCACUCCCGGGGCGUCUCGUUCUCAUCGCGAGAAGAGGCGCACCAAGAGCGUACACGCUGGGACCCGAAAGAUGGUGAACUAUGCCUGGUCAGGACGAAGUCAGGGGAAACCCUGAUGGAGGUCCGUAGCGAUUCUGACGUGCAAAUCGAUCGUCGGAACUGGGUAUAGGGGCGAAAGACUAAUCGAACCAUCUAGUAGCUGGUUCCCUCCGAAGUUUCCCUCAGGAUAGCUGGCGCUCGUAGCGCACGAGUUUCAUCCGGUAAAGCGAAUGAUUAGAGGCAUUGGGGUCGAAACGACCUCAACCUAUUCUCAAACUUUAAAUGGGUGAGAUCUCCGGCUUGCUCGAACUCUGUAUACGCGCAGCGCAUCGUCGUCUAUCGUCGUUCGCGCGGCGGUCGUCGACGCUAGUGUCGUUGCGUGUUAUGAAGCCGCGAGACUCGAAUCAGAG